This 1034-nucleotide ribosomal RNA is filed under the name Cymbalaria ebelii. RNAcentral describes it as "partial small subunit ribosomal RNA". Lineage: Eukaryota; Viridiplantae; Streptophyta; Magnoliopsida; Lamiales; Plantaginaceae. The record is from RNAcentral.
GCAGCGACAACGUCCCCGUCCAUGCCUCUUCAUUGUUUGAUUCAAGUGCUUAAUUGCCUUGGUCGUCUCGGGUUGCCUGUGUUGUGUACCAUUCUUGAAGGCAUUGGUUUGGCUAAAAAUAUCCCGUCUCCUCUUAGUGCUGCCGACCACGUGUUUGUGGCACGAGGGGGAACCAAAAAGCAGUCGACGUGUAUCCACUUCUUUUUCGUGCGUGCAUGAAGGGAAUUUGGCCCAUGUCGGCUUGCUCGAUCUCUCGGUUGCGGUGCAUAAUUCGGGUACGAGGCCCUCGAGCCUCUGUUUUGCCCAUAAAAUAAGCGUUCUACGCUUCAUGCGAACGACACUCGUCAUCGUUUUGGUUGGGUCCUCGUGACUCGACCCAUGCGUUGCGACGUCGAUGAAGGAAUGCUACCUGGUUGAUCCUGCCAGUAGUCAUAUGCUUGUCUCAAAGAUUAAGCCUGCAGGUUGUAAGUAAAACGGGGGGAGGCUGUCCGGCACGAGGCAAGUUUCGGGGGGGGGGGGGUGGUCAACUUGAAAGAAGUAUCUUUUUUUUUAUUAUAAGAGUUUUCUAAGUAGGGGGUAGAUGUUAUAUGUAACAAGGUGGAGGAGAAGGAUAAGUUUGUUUGUUUUGUGGGUUGAGAAAGAAGAGUGGAGUGGGUACGGUGGGGGGGGGAGGUUGGAGGUUUUUUAUUUUAUUUCUCUUUAUGAAUUGUUGGGAGGGGAAUAGUAAAAUAGAGUUUGAUGGUUAGAAGAAUUGAUAAGAAUAUAUAAAAAAAAAAAAGAAAAGAGAAGUAAGAAAGAAAGUAACUAAGAAAAGAAUUAGAGAUAGAAAGUCAGUCAACAGGAAAAGCUGUGUGGGGGAAAAGGGAUGACGGAAAGAGAGUAAAAAAGAAGGGAAAUAGAUAGAAUUAGUUAAAAGAAAGGGUUGCAGGGGACGGUGUGGUAAGGGAUUAGGAAGAAGGUUAAUAUUAGGGUAAUGUGAAAGGCAGGGAGAAGAGUGUUUUGGAGGGGUGUAGUAAGAGAAAGAAAGAGGAAAA